This is a long non-coding RNA of Phasianus colchicus (ring-necked pheasant), 2471 nucleotides long. RefSeq lists it as uncharacterized. Lineage: Eukaryota; Metazoa; Chordata; Aves; Galliformes; Phasianidae. The record is from RefSeq and is a predicted model, not a curated record.
UGAGGGAGUAGUAUUUACAUCUGGUGAUUGAUGCCCUUCUGGGGCACCUUCUGGAUUUCACCAGCAUUUAGAAAGUAGAAAGGAUAUGCAGGAAAUCAGUGGUCACAGCUGAAUAGGAAAGCUAAGAAGAAGAAGAAGGCAACAUUUAUGAGUGGCCAGAAGCUGCAAGAAAGCAAAGACAUUUCAAUUCUGGAUUUAACAGCUAGGACAAGUGCAAGAAAUUCCCUUCCUUGGAGCUAUGACUUACUGCCUACAAGCUAUUUCAGCUUUCAGCCAAGUAAAUGAAGAGUCAGAAGAAUCUGCAGAGGAAGUUGGAGGACAGACAAUGAUUUUGGAUACAUCAGGCUUGGGCUGGAGUGUGGAUCUGAGGCUGAAUUAUGUCCAGAUUUAAAGUUUAACAGCAAUGAUAUGAUGCGGAUUCUUAAUGUUUCUUCACAAGGAGAGAAUGUAAUUAGAAACCUUUUUCAACUGCCACAAUUCUGUCAUUUUUGAAGAGUGACCUUGCCACCACUUGCUUCUUCAGGACUCUUACUUUCAUUAGUAACAAAGCAAUGAGAAGAAUACCUGUCAGAGUAAGUGACUGGAUGCUCCAAUUUACACAUUCUUUUGGAUGUUGCUUGUCUACUAGAGAGGUUGUAUGAACUGUUGAUUGACACUUCAAUGCUUUUCCAGAAUGUAAACUUCUGUAAAUGGAUGUUAAAAUAAAACAGAUAUUAAUAUUUGAGUGAAACAAAUUGAAGUAUUGCAUGGCGCAUAAACCUCACAGAAUUGAUGUCAAUUCACUUGAAAUGGUGCUUUGUCCAUGAUGUUUGCUGUCUGAUUUUAUGAGUUGCUGAGGUGUGCAUUGAAGGGAACUUCUAAGAGAAAGAUUAUUUGAAUCCCCAGCCCAGGAGCUGCACCGAGGAUUAGUUGAAAUGAAGGAGGAAGAUCUUAACUACCUGGGAGUGUGAAUAUAUUAAAAUACACUGAUGUGAUCAUGUAUUCUUAAUGUGUCAGAUGUUGCAAUUGCAUAAUAACAUUUUUACUUCUGGAACAAAGACUACAUAAAAAUUUAGAGCCUUUUCUUUACCAUGCAAGAUAAUACAUAUGAAGUACAAUGAAUGUUAUCUACUUGUUAGGCUGCCUGAUAGAACCCUUGCUUAUGUGACGGUUUAGAUAAUUUGAAAAUUCCCUUUGGGCAGAAAUCAAGGAUAUUUUGUUUAUCACUUUUCUGCAGAAAGGAGCACUGGACCACUGAUAUAAUUAGGUUUUUAAUUAAAUUUUAUUGAAUUCAUGCUUAAAUUAUUUCAUAAAGAAAUAAGUAUGUAUUCUGCUGUUUUCUACUAUUUGUCUUCUUUCACUCAUAUUUUCAAGUCUUCAUCAGAAAGAUUGACUGUUCGGCAGCUGACAUGAUGAAAGAACCUACAGAUUGCUCUGGAAAUAAAUUAUGAACUGAGAUGGAUUAAUUCUUGGCAAUACUCAGCAAAUCAGUUAUACCUGUUUUUCUCUACCUGAAAAAUAAGGUUAAGCUGAAUUUAACUAUGUCACAAGAAUAUUGGGAAAAUUGAGCACACAUUCAUGUUCAGCAUCGUCUUCCUGCACUCUUCCUGAAAGAGGAGAAAUCCGACUGAGCUCCCUAUGGGAGGAAGAGCCUUUUCCCUUGUGCCAUGCACAGGUGGGCAGCACUCAGGGCCCUUGCUGUAACUGAGGACUAGUAGGUGCCAGUCCUCAUUUGAUCUUUCAAGACCAUUCUGAAAUCUGUCAGUUAAGACACUUCAACCUGCAAAGUCUGUGUUAUUAUUAUCAUUAUAUAUUGUGAAUGCAUUCUUCAGUUUUAAACAACCUGUUCCUGUGUAUCCCUUCCAGUUUUGGUUGCCUCUAAACUUCCUAAACACAUGGGAGCAAGUGAAUGUUCUAUCAGUGGUGCUGGUCCCACAAGUGUGAUGUAAAUAAAUCCCAGGUGUUUUGAUGUUACAUAUUUGACCGCACAGCUGCUAACACUUUUCUGUGAUGUGCAUCUUCAUAUUUGUAGGAGCUUCCUAUCUAUAAGAGGUAAGGGUGUUUUAUGUUCAUUUCAGACAUAACAUUUUUACACAGGAAAUAUCCAUGCUGUUCCUUUUCAUAAGAAUGUUAUGCCUGUUUUCUUGUUAUUUAUAAAUUUCUUUUAUCUUACCCCGUAAGAGUCACUGAGGAUAUGAAAAGAAAAUGACAGUUUUCUGUUUAUAGCAAACACAGCAUUAAUGUGCAUCUUUCUCUUCUGCAUUUUCCUUCUGAUCUUCCAGCAUGCAGAACAGUUUUCCUGCUAAUUCAUUUAAGGCUGCUCUGUCUGAACACCAGGUAGAAUAGGAAAAUGUGCAAGCGUAAAAAUGCAGAAGCAUUUCCUAUGCUAUGAUUUGGAGGGAUAAAGCAGGCAGUUUCAGAAUUGCAGAAGGGUUGCUUGCAUUUGUUGCAAUGUUAUAGUGGCUGAGCAGGGGGCUCAUGGGACCCUCUUG